This 368-nucleotide ribosomal RNA is filed under the name uncultured organism. Its description in RNAcentral is "bacterial LSU rRNA". It matches the Rfam family "Bacterial large subunit ribosomal RNA", at positions 2099 to 2465 of the family's 2925-position model. The record is from RNAcentral.
CUUGACUGUAGCCUGGAAUUGGGUUCGGGCUCUUCUUGCGCAGCCUAGGUGGGAGGCGUUGAAGGUUUUCUCUCGGGAAAACUGGAGCCAACAGUGAGAGACCACUCUGGAGGAGCUAGAAUUCUAAUGGCGUUCCUUGAAGCAGGACGCUUGACAGUUUCAGGUGGGCAGUUUGACUGGGGCGGUCACCUCCUAAAAGGUAACGGAGGUGUGCAAAGGUUCCCUCAGGCUGGACGGAAAUCAGCCGUAGAGUGUAAAGGCAGAAGGGAGCUUGACUGCAAGACCUACAAGUCGAGCAGGGGCGAAAGCCGGCCUUAGUGAUCCGACGGUUCCGUGUGGAAGGGCCGUCGCUCAACGGAUAAAAGUUA